Molecule: ribosomal RNA, 838 nt
Filed under: Psychrobacter maritimus
Lineage: Bacteria; Pseudomonadati; Pseudomonadota; Gammaproteobacteria; Moraxellales; Moraxellaceae
Description: bacterial SSU rRNA
Rfam family: Bacterial small subunit ribosomal RNA
Source: RNAcentral
GGGGGCACCCUGAUCCAGCCAUGCCGCGUGUGUGAAGAAGGCCUUUUGGUUGUAAAGCACUUUAAGCAGUGAAGAAGACUCCGUGGUUAAUACCCAUGGACGAUGACAUUAGCUGCAGAAUAAGCACCGGCUAACUCUGUGCCAGCAGCCGCGGUAAUACAGAGGGUGCAAGCGUUAAUCGGAAUUACUGGGCGUAAAGCGAGCGUAGGUGGCUUGAUAAGUCAGAUGUGAAAUCCCCGGGCUUAACCUGGGAACUGCAUCUGAUACUGUUAGGCUAGAAUAGGUGAGAGGAAGGUAGAAUUCCAGGUGUAGCGGUGAAAUGCGUAGAGAUCUGGAGGAAUACCGAUGGCGAAGGCAGCCUUCUGGCAUCAUAUUGACACUGAGGUUCGAAAGCGUGGGUAGCAAACAGGAUUAGAUACCCUGGUAGUCCACGCCGUAAACGAUGUCUACUAGUCGUUGGGUCCCUUGAGGACUUAGUGACGCAGCUAACGCAAUAAGUAGACCGCCUGGGGAGUACGGCCGCAAGGUUAAAACUCAAAUGAAUUGACGGGGGCCCGCACAAGCGGUGGAGCAUGUGGUUUAAUUCGAUGCAACGCGAAGAACCUUACCUGGUCUUGACAUAUCUAGAAUCCUGCAGAGAUGCGGGAGUGCCUUCGGGAAUUAGAAUACAGGUGCUGCAUGGCUGUCGUCAGCUCGUGUCGUGAGAUGUUGGGUUAAGUCCCGCAACGAGCGCAACCCUUGUCCUUAGUUACCAGCGGGUUAAGCCGGGAACUCUAAGGAUACUGCCAGUGACAAACUGGAGGAAGGCGGGGACGACGUCAAGUCAUCAUGGCCCUUA